RNAcentral lists this long non-coding RNA (8772 nucleotides) under Heterocephalus glaber (naked mole-rat). RNAcentral's name for it is "lncRNA (ENSHGLG00100038578.1)". The record is from RNAcentral. Lineage: Eukaryota; Metazoa; Chordata; Mammalia; Rodentia; Bathyergidae.
UGACUUUUCAUGUCCAUUAGUAUUUGUUUUAUAUAGUUGGGCACAUUAGUUUUUGGUGCAUAGAUAUUUAUGACUGUCAUCUCUUCCUGUUGGAUUGUUUGCUUUACACAGAUGUAGUGUCCUUCUUUGUCUCUCUUAAUCAGUGUUGGUUUGAAAUCCACUUGAUCUGCAAAGAGGAUAGCUACUCCUGCUUUUUUUCAGGUUCCUGUUACAUGGAGUGUUGUUUUACACCCUUUAACUUUCAAUCUAUGAGUUUCUUUUUUUAAUUAAGUGUGUUUCUUGUAUGCAGCAUAUUGUUGAAUUUUGCUUCUUGACCCAUUCUGCCAGUCUAUUUCUUUUGAUUGGUGAAUUGAGACCAUUAACAUUGAUGGUUAUAACUGAUACAUAUUGCCUUAUCCUUGUCAUGACUUUUUCAUUUUGUUGGAUUCUCCCCCUUUAUAUUUAAGUUCUUGUCACACCUGAUGGACUCAUUCUGCUGUGCUUCCUGGGGUUGUGAUCCUCAUUGUCUGUUCCUAGUAUAUUAUCUAAAAUUUUUUUGGAGUGCUCAUUUUGUAUUCAUGAAGUUCCUAAGGUGCUCUUUGUCAUGAAAGUACCUUAUUUUUCCAUCAAUUUUUAAAGAUAGUUUUGCAGUGUACAUCAAUCUGGGUUGGAGGCUGUUGUUCUUUAGGGCUUGGAAUAUGUCACUCCAAGCUCUUCUUGCCUUGAGGGUUUGCAUUGAGAAGUCUGCUGUGAUUCUGAUGGGCUUUCCUUUGUAUGUGCUUUCCUUUGAUUUGUUUCUUUUCUCUAACUGCUUGUAGAACUUUGUUCUUCUGGUGAGUUUCCAGAAUCUUAACAAUUUUAUGCCUAUGUGUAGAUUGUUUUGGAUCAAGGCUAUUUGGACACCUGUAUGUCUCAUUUAUCUGUAUGUCAAGUUUUUUUCCCCUGCUUGGGAAGUUUUCUGCCAUUAUUUCUGCGAACAGUUCUUUUUUAUGUCAUCUGCACUCUCUCCUGUUUCUUUGUUGACUCUAAUCAGUCUUUUGUUAUUCUUCUUUGCAUCGUCUAGCAGCUGCUGGAUUGAUUUCUCACAUUUCCUUACAAUUUUGAAGCAAUUUUUCUUUACCUGGUCACUAAUUGCAAUUUUAUUUUCUAUAUCUGAAAUUCUGUCCUCACAUUGGCUCAUUCUGCUGUGUAGACUUUCAAUGGAGUUUUUCAUCUCCUGGAAAUAUUUUUGUAUCUGUUUUAUGGAUUCCAAUUGUUUCCUAUGUUGGGAUUCCAUCAUGUUCCUCAGCUCCUCUAUUUUUUUUUUAAUCUGUGCCCUCUCUAGAUUUAUUAAGCAUGUCUUGCACUAUGUGCAUAAUCUAUGCUGUUAUCUGAGAAAUUAUUUCUGAUUUCAUUUUUUCCAGAUCCUCUUUUGUUGCCAGUUCAGGGAGUCCAGGUGGUUGAGUAUCAGUGUUCCAUCUCCUUUCCUGUUGGGGUUGCUGUAGGUGAUCUGGGAAUCUGGUUUUGAGACUUGUUUACGUGUCUUCUCAUUUCCAUGGUGAGGCUUGCUGUUGGUGCCUGCAUGGCUCACCUUCUCUGCACUAGGAGCAGUGGAACGGCAUCCCAGAGGCCCCUUCCUCUGGGCUGGGAGUGGUGGAACCAAUUCUGAAUUUUCAUAUGCUAUCUCUGAAUCAUUUUGACUCCUUCUCAUGGUUUUAUACAAAUUUAAGACCUAUCAAAAUUGAUCAUUCCAGUAUUCACUUAUACCCCAAGAUUUUACCUUGAACUGUGUCAAUAUGAGAAACUUUGUGGGAAAUGGGUAUUGUAGCAAUUAGGGUGGAGCAUCAAUUUAACUGGUUUUGGGAUCCACUCUGGGGGUUGGUGGAUCACUCUUCUUAAUUUAUCAGGAUGGGUGGUUAUGCCCGUGGAGUCUAUUUAUGUCCCUGGAUCGUUCCUCUCUGCCACUCUUCUCCUGCUCUGCUUCCUGGCUGCCAUGAACUAUGCAGCUUUGUUCUAGCAUCCUUUCCACUAUCACAAUCCUGCCUUGGAGCCAGCUGACCAUGAAUUGAACCCCUUGAAAUAUUAUUCAAAUUAAAACUCUCCUCCUUUAAGUUGUGAGUGUCAGGUAUGAUGACGAACAAUGGGAAAGCUGAAGAAUACAAGUAUGUUUGCUUUUCAUGACAUUAACCUUAAAAGUUUAAGAGCAAUCCUAAAUAAUCAUUUAUUAAGCAUAUUUUAAAAUUCUUUUCUUUAAUUGACAAAUUUGUAUACUCAUGGAGUAUAACAUGAUGUUUUGUAAAAUUCAUUAUGUGGUAGAGUGGCUAAAUCAAGCUAAUUAACAUACAUAUUGUAUUAGUGAGCUUUCCUAUUGCUAGGACAAAAUAGUUGAUACCCCCAACUUAGAGGAGAGGCAUCAUUUUGCUAAUAGUUUCAGAGAUGUCAGUCCAUGGCUAGCUGGCUCCAAGGCAUAAACAUCAUGUUGGGAGGGCAUGGUAAAGCAAAACUGCUCACUUCUGGGCCCUACCUGCCAACAGCAGUUCAGCUAGAAACAUCAGUGGAUUAAUGCAAUUGCCUUUUGAAACCCCACCUCUGAACAUGUGAGACUAUUUGGGGACUAUUUUUAUCUAAAUCAUCACACAUUAUAUUAUGUUCUUAUCAUUUUUUGUACCAAGAACAUAAAAGCUACUCUGUUAGCAAUUUUCAAUUAUAUAAUAUGUUGCUCUUAACUAUAGUUAUCAUGCUGCACAAUACUGUAGAUCUCUUGAAAUUGUUCUUCCUAACUGAGAUGUCUUAUCCUUUGACCUUUGAGAAGCUUUACUACUCCCCAGCUCAUUAAGGAUCUGUCAUGAAUAAAUUCAUUUUAACAGUGCUAUAACCUUCAUAUAUUUUACACUUACAUUAGUAUAUUUUUCUACAUGCUGAUAAACUACUGAUUUGGCUAAUCCUUACCCACAGAAUUGCUUGAUUUAUUGACAAAGUGAGCUAGAUGUUUUCACAUUUUAUAGAUGUGGCCAAAGGCACACACCAAAUAAGCAAAAUGAAUAGGGAAAGUGCUUGUGACAGUUUGGCCUGAGGGCACUGUCAAGCUCUCCUGGCAUUCAAUAAUUUCCCUCUUCCAGGAAACCAAAGGGCAUGGCCAGAUCAAUUCUCAGAUCAGGUCAGCAUUAAACAUCAAUAAUCAUGGAAAAAUGUAGGAACUGGUGGCAAAUUUGAAUCAGACCCUAAGGAUGAGGUGGCAUCAUACAUAUACGGUGAAGGGAACAAAUCAGGAUGAAGAAGCUAUGAGGUUCAUCUUAGGAGUCAUAAAAGAACAGCAGGCUCUGGGAUAAACUGGAAAUGUAUGGAAAACAGGAAUGACAAGUAAGGCCAGAUCUGUGGGAAAGGGUAGUUUGGUAGAGAGGGUCACAAGGUCUUUGCAAAUCAUGGCUGCUCAGAAAGAAAUGCCUGUAGGUUCUUCCCUGGCUCCUAAAACCUCUUUGAUGUAAAUAGUUACAAUUGUAGGGCUUUUUGUGGUGGGGCUAGCCUUUUGCUAUCCAUAUCACACUGUGAAGCCAGCUUUCUCAUUAAAAUGAUUGGAAAUUGUAAUUCCUCUUUUAUGAUAGUAUCCCAUUCCAGAUUAGCAACACAGUAUUUUUUUAUUGAUUUGAAUUUUGUGAAGAAUCCUGCAAGUGAAGUCUUCUACAACAUGGGAGAACAAAGUCACUAAAUUAUGUAUAUGUCAUGUGUACAUAAAUAUAUUUGCAUGUGCAAUACAGAUCAUACAGUUUGUUUCUUUUAUUUUCCUUUACAAAAAAAGGAACCUAAAGUGCCAAAUCAAAGCUUGAACUAAAUGCUGUCAGGAUUCUGGCUUUGGGGGUUGUUAGAAACAUUAUGAGGAAAAAAUCCAACAGAAAAAUGCUCUGCUGUUAGUUGUGAGUGAAACCUAGAGACCAUCAGAGGGAGUACUUUAGCUGCUGUGAAAAGGCUCAGAGGGAGACAGAUAAUAAAUGUACAAUAAACAAUCCAAUGUCAGAAAUGUUCGGUAUUGCAAAAUGUACGCCUAUUUGUUUUUUAGCAAUUUCUAAUAGAUGAAGUUCUAACUCUAGUCAUGACCAGAUAUUAGCCGGAUAAUUCUUUGAAUCUGGCUAAGGUGGAAUCUUUCAAGGACAAAGAGGAUUUGCUCACUAACCGGAAAGUGAGGUACAGGUCAUGCAUGCUUAGACGUGCUAAUAGUUCUGGUCUUUAAUGAUACCAGCUUAAUGAAGAUGAUGUUAUGCAUUUUUAAUUGUUCUCCUCUGAUUUGACAUUAGCCAUGCCUUUCUCACUAAUAUGAAGAUUUGUUGGCCAGCACUGACAUUAGCUGAAACUGGAUCUUUAAAUUGUCAGUUCCUCCCGCAUUUCCUUUGCCUUUAUCUUUCCUAGUGCCUUGCAUUGACCAGCUCCACUUUAGGCCCAGAUUAGCCCUUUCUCCAUUCCUAAAUCAACGUUUAAAAUGGCAGAAACUAUACUAGCAACCUCAGAUCUCUUUAAUGGGGCUUGGAACACUGACCCAGGACUGAGCUUUAUGCAUUUAAUCUAACCCCUGAAUUACAGUGCUUUCCUACACUCUCUCUAGGUGACUUUUGCUUUGAUAUCCCAAUUGACAGCUUUGUCCCCCUAUAGGGCUAAGUCUUCAUCCUGAGCCUUGCCUGUCUCCUGCCAAUCUUCUCUCCAUAGAGUCUUCCUUAGUUCACUCCUGAAACCCUUCUAGCUCCAAGACAUGGACAGAUGAUGAUGAUGAUGAUGAUGAUGAUGAUGAUGAUGAUGACGACGACGACGACGGGCAUUAUGCUUGAUUUCUGAAUUGGAAUCUAUCUAGAAUAUUUUGUUGCUCAAUUGGAUCUCCUCCCUCUAACUAUUGUUGGAGGUGAUGGACAAUGCUCUGGUUAUUCCUACUGUCUUGGAUGAGGUCCUCCCUCUGCAUUCUGGUCAGGUUCCCUCAGUACCCACCCUAGUUAAUGGGUCUGCUUGGCCCAGUUUCCUAUUUUUUAAUAUUCUGCACAUGGAUACAUCUGUGAUUUGUCUUUGUAGAUGAUGUAAUGGGUAUUGUAAAAAGCACUAACUCCCAAAUUUCCACCAGUGAUACCCAAAAUUUCUUGUUACUAGAGAUUAACCAUUUUGAGAUAAGUGAUGUCUGUAAAAAUGCAGUAUCUUGGGUGUCUUAGAAUGUGCUAGGCUAGGCUGUGUAAACCCACAUAUAUAAUGUUUCAAAACAUUAGUUUAUUUCUUACACAAAACAAUCCUGUGAGGGUUUUCAGGUUAGCAAGGUUUUUCUCCACACUAUAGUCAUUUAAAGAUUCAGAUUUUUCUCAUCUUGAAGUCCUUCAAUUCCCUAGUAGCUCAGUUGCAUCUAUACUUAGCUGGUGAAAGAUAAGAACAAGCCUAGGGUGGGGAGUGUCAAACUUUUUUCUCAAAACUUUUGACCUUCAGGUGGCGUCUUACAAUUUUCUCACAUGGCAUUGGUCAGAAUUCAAUCACAUGGUUACAUCUAAUUUCAGGGGUGAGGUGGGGGCUGAAGAAUGUAGUUCAGUUAUUUUACCAGGAGAGGAAAAAAAGAGAAAAUAGAUUUUGGAGGAUAGCUGACAGUCUCUGCCAUAAUAAAUAAGGACAACACACUAAUUUGUUUUUGGCCUUUGAUACCUUAACACAGUUUAGUUUGUCAAAUUGCUAAUACCUUGGACAGCAGAUUGCAAAAUAAUAGAAUAUGGGCUAGGUCAGGGGAGCAAAAGAGAAAGGGUGAGGAGAAUUCAAUGCCAGUACAUGGAUCAUUUAUGGGAAAGGAUAGGCUUCUUUGAAGGCACAAGACUCUUAGAAAGUCAGAGGUCAAUGUGACAGUACUGGGAAUAGGCAACAAGGGGAUGGAAACAAAGUAAAGAUGCAAAGGUUGUCUCAGUUUUGUUUCAGGCUAGCCUUGAUUCUAUACUGAAAAUUCAUGCGAAAUGAGUGUCUUCAACAUUUCAACAAUUCAGCCCUAUGCUUAUCUUUUUGAGUCAAGCCUUUGUGAGGGAGAGGCAGCAAAAUACCCCCAAAGCUCAGGUUCUCAGUGUGCUCCACCAGAUUCCUGCUUUUUAUAAGGUUUCUUUUCCCUUAUUUCCAAACCAGAACAAUUUAAAUCUAAUCAAUGUCAUCAUUCUUUAGUCUUUGGGUCAAAAUGAAACAAAUUUUCUUACAGCUAUCCAUUUGGUGUCAAGCUUCCUGCUGAGAACCUUAUUAUGUAUAGAGUAAAAUCUUUUCAUAUCAGAAUGGGCUUGGUUUCAUGUUAGACUGCCUGCUUUACACAAACCAGGACUGACCUCUAGUUCAUUUACAUUCUCCCUUCCUCCACAGCCCUGCAGAUUGAGUGACUGACCCAUGCUGAUGACCCACUGACACAUCCUUAGCCAGCUGGGAUGAAACAUGAGUUGAUUCAGCAGAGAACAGGGAGGUGAGUGGGAGGGUGGAGGUUGCCAAGCAAUGAGCCUCAGAUGUUGUCUGCAGAGCUGCUAAUGGGGCUGAAUCUGGUUUGUGUUUAGCCUACAAGAACUUUGCAAAGGUAGACAGGAAACAAAGGUCUGGAGAUGCAGAGGCAUAGAAAUCAUAGAUUUUGCUUUUGUAGCUACUGUCCUGGAUAUAUUCACGAGAUGGCAAAAGAAUCAUUGAAGGUGGAGAGUCAUGAGCAGUUAUCUAUUCUGGAUGACUAGAUUUCUAAGGCUAUUAGGGUUUUAUUAGUAUAGACAGUUAUCCGUGUAAUGUAAUAUGAAGAGGAACAAAAUAUCCUUUUCUUUCUGUGACUGAAACCCCAUCAUUAAAGAUCACUAUGAACUUUCCAAAACAAUUUUGAUAAACUAAGUUUACUUAAUCAACAAUUAUGUAGCCCUCACUAUACUGUAGUUCUAAGGGCCUUAUAGGUAACAGCACUCUUAUUCUUUUUAACAAUGCUAUAGGGUAGGUACUAAUUUUAAUACUCCUAUUUUACAAAUGAAGAAAUAGAGAGAUAAAGGGGCCCAAGAAUACACAGGUACCGAAUGGCAGAGCAAGGAUUAUAAGUCCAGGCAAUCACUCAGCCCUUAUAAUACACUGUUCCUCAGUAUAGUACAGUAUGUUGUAGUUGAAGAAAGUGUAACCUAUUGUGUAGCAGAAAUUCAUUUACCUAAGCUAGCACAAUGGCUUGUGCCUGUAAUCCCAGCUAUUGAAGAGACUGAGGCAGGAGGAUGACAAUUUGAGGCCAGCCUGGGCAAUUUAGCAAGAUCUUGUCUCAGAAUUUUUUUUAAGUAACCAGAGAUAUAGCUUAUUGCUCCCUGGGUUUAAUUCCCAGUACUACAAAAAAAUAGAAUUCAGCUAAUUAGUUAUACUGUCAUACUUUCCACCUAGUAGAGAGCAGCAGGACUCAGAAUGUUUUGAAGAGAAGGGGCAUAAGAGGUCUGGAUGAAACUGUUGGGGGGGACAAGAAUGUCAGGAUGAAUUUAUUGUUGAAGAGCUAGAACUCCCACCCAGCACCUAUUUUCUCUUAACAUGCAUGAUUCAAGGAAUAGUACCUUUGUCUCUUCUAGUUUGUAUAAAUCUGAUUCCAGCAAAUAGCAUUCUCAGUUUCAUCUAUUUAAGAAAAUUUAUUUAGCAUACCCAGAGGCAGUAUGGGCUGGCUACAAAAUCAGGUGGACUUCCAUUCAUUCAGGAAGAAAAGAAUGAUGUGGCCGGACUGAGAAGCCAUGGGAAACCAUCUGCAGAUUAAGUUUUGGUUUGAUAUUCAGAGUCAAUGUGCCUUGCUGUCCCAGAGCAGCUCCUUGGAGACUGCUGUGCUAGGAUCAUUCCCCUUGCCUGACUUUCCCAUGGAUAAUUUGGUACUGGACAUUGCUCCCUGAUCACGUAAAGCUUCUGUUAGCUUUGUCCUGCCCUGUAUCUAUCUCCCUCACACUGUAUUCUGUAGAUGACUGACUGUCAGCUCUGUUGCCAAAGGGCCACUGCUGUCUCUCCAGAAUGUUUUCACCUGGUAUCAUAUGGCCCAUGGCUUUCAGUCUACAGCUGCCUCUUUAAUACACACCUGUCUGUGGCUCUUCAAAUCUUCAAUUCUUGUAUUAUACUUUUAUCUCGCUAGAUAUUCCAAAGGAAUACCUGAUGGAAAAGGGGAAAAAGUGAUGGUUUUGGUGGGUAUUUCCUUACUAGUCCUUUUUCUUGGGACAAUUAUCCCAGGUAGACACUGUAAUUAGAUCAUUUAUUCAGCAGAAACCCAAGCACCUACUACGCACAGGAUCAAGGUAAAUCACUACAUGUCCCAGGCAACUUGAGCUGACCUCACUACGCCAUUGCAUUCUCUGGUAGAGAAAGAAAAAAAAAUCUUGACUGACAAAUAGGCUUUUCAUUCCCUGUGCAUAACUGGGGAUUCAGCUCCUACACUUUGGCUCUGAGCUCGUUGUCUUCAUAAUUAAUGCUUUUUAAAAAGAGCAGAUUUGGAAAGAACAUGGAAACAAGAGGCUAAGUCUCCAGAGGGAGCCUUAGAAGUGGACUCAGUGCUCCCCUCCACCACCAUUAAUCCCCCAUAGUCACAUGUGGAGAAUACAAAUGCCCUUCUCAGGCCCUCUGGUUCAAUUUCACCAUAAGACAAUUGACCUAUCGCCACUGUGAGAAGCAAAGCCUCGAACAAAGCAGCUGCCGAAAGGACUUUGUCAAGCUGGAAAUGAAUUAUUAAUAUGGCUCUGAAAGGGAACGGCACCAGAAACCAGGCUCUUUAUUAUUUACAUUAAUGAACUGGAAGACGAUGCAGUGAGCAAAAUCCCAAGUUUGGAGAAUGCUACAGUUUGAAGUGCAAUAAUGAGUGAAAAC